CAAAAGCGUAUAUUAAAGUUGUUGCAGUUAAAAAGCUCGUAGUUGAACCUUGGGCUUGGCUGGCCGGUCCAUCUUUUUUGAUGCGUACUGGACCCAGCCGAGCCUUUCCUUCUGGCUAGCCUUUUGGCGAACCAGGACUUUUACUUUGAAAAAAUUAGAGUGUUCAAAGCAGGCCUUUGCUCGAAUAUAUUAGCAUGGAAUAAUAGAAUAGGACGUUAUGGUUCUAUUUUGUUGGUUUCUAGGACCAUCGUAAUGAUUAAUAGGGACGGUCGGGGGUAUCAGUAUUCAGUUGUCAGAGGUGAAAUUCUUGGAUUUACUGAAGACUAACUACUGCGAAAGCAUUUACCAAGGACGUUUUCAUGAA
This 364-nucleotide ribosomal RNA is filed under the name uncultured eukaryote. RNAcentral describes it as "partial 18S ribosomal RNA". It matches the Rfam family "Eukaryotic small subunit ribosomal RNA", at positions 592 to 976 of the family's 1831-position model. The record is from RNAcentral.